GGACUCGUAGCUUAAUGGAUAGAGCACUUGGUUACGGCCCAAGAGGUUGUGGGUUCGACUCCCGCCGAGUUCACCA
Molecule: transfer RNA, 76 nt
Filed under: Odoribacter splanchnicus
Lineage: Bacteria; Pseudomonadati; Bacteroidota; Bacteroidia; Bacteroidales; Odoribacteraceae
Also listed under: 10 other names
Description: tRNA-Arg
Rfam family: tRNA
About the family: Transfer RNA (tRNA) molecules are approximately 80 nucleotides in length. Their secondary structure includes four short double-helical elements and three loops (D, anti-codon, and T loops).
Source: RNAcentral